RNAcentral lists this ribosomal RNA (445 nucleotides) under uncultured Propionibacterium sp. RNAcentral describes it as "bacterial SSU rRNA". It matches the Rfam family "Bacterial small subunit ribosomal RNA", at positions 338 to 795 of the family's 1533-position model. Lineage: Bacteria; Bacillati; Actinomycetota; Actinomycetes; Propionibacteriales; Propionibacteriaceae. The record is from RNAcentral.
CCUACGGGCGGCAGCAGUGGGGAAUAUUGCACAAUGGGCGGAAGCCUGAUGCAGCAACGCCGCGUGCGGGAUGACGGACUUCGGGUUGUAAACCGCUUUCGCCUGUGACGAAGCGUGAGUGACGGUAAUGGGUAAAGAAGCACCGGCUAACUACGUGCCAGCAGCCGCGGUGUUACGUAGGGUGCGAGCGUUGUCCGGAUUUAUUGGGCGUAAAGGGCUCGUAGGUGGUUGAUCGCGUCGGAAGUGUAAUCUUGGGGCUUAACCCUGAGCGUGCUUUCGAUACGGGUUGACUUGAGGAAGGUAGGGGAGAAUGGAAUUCCUGGUGGAGCGGUGGAAUGCGCAGAUAGCAGGAGGAACACCAGUGGCGAAGGCGGUUCUCUGGGCCUUUCCUGACGCUGAGGAGCGAAAGCGUGGGGAGCGAACAGGAUUAGAUACCCCUGUAGUC